RNAcentral lists this transfer RNA (59 nucleotides) under Dasyurus hallucatus (northern quoll). RNAcentral's name for it is "tRNA-Ser". The record is from RNAcentral. Lineage: Eukaryota; Metazoa; Chordata; Mammalia; Dasyuromorphia; Dasyuridae.
GAGAAAGUUACAAGAACUGCUAAUCCUUGACACCAUGUCUAACCCACAUGGCUUUCUUA